UACGUAGGGGGCAAGCGUUGUCCGGAAUCAUUGGGCGUAAAGAGCGUGUAGGCGGCUCGAUAAGUCUGCUGUGAAAGUCCAGGGCUCAACCCUGGAAGGCCGGUGGAAACUGUCGGGCUAGAGUCCGGAAGAGGCGAGUGGAAUUCCCGGUGUAGCGGUGAAAUGCGCAGAUAUCGGGAGGAACACCAGUGGCGAAGGCGACACGCUGGGCCAUACCUGACGCUAAAGCGCGACAGCAUGGGGAGCAAACGGG
RNAcentral lists this ribosomal RNA (253 nucleotides) under uncultured bacterium. RNAcentral describes it as "partial 16S ribosomal RNA". It matches the Rfam family "Bacterial small subunit ribosomal RNA", at positions 524 to 776 of the family's 1533-position model. The record is from RNAcentral.